UGGCCCUACCCCCCCACCACAGUCAGCUCCCUGCCCCCACACUUGUCAGCACAGGGACCCCAGGUGGCAGACAGCUGAGAAGCUUCAGCCUAGUCAGACUCAACUUCUGCCCCAUCCUCUGGGACCUACAGUCGCCCCUCCAGCUUCCCGGGAGUCCAAUUUCCUAAAGCACAAUGGGUGACAACCUGGCACGGGCUUGCAGGUGGAGGCCUGGCGCUUCCGGGAGCUGCAGGGGCCAGGGAGCCCCCCACCUUCCCGCUUGCACCCCCUGGAGGCUCUGAGCAGCAGCUGGCAGGACAGGUGGGGGCUCUGCCUGCUCUUUGCCCCCGCCCCUCUUGACCGCCCCCUGCCUAGGGCCAGCUCCUCUCCUGGCUGCUGCAGUCAGUGCUUCCCACAGGUCUCGUCUCAUGCCUGGGACCCAGCAUUCAUUCACUCAUUCCUUCACCUGUGGCUGGGGUGGCGGCUAGGCUGAGCGCUCCUGGAACUCAGCACCUGGUGGUGUGGGUGAAACAGGGGGGGUCUCCUCCACCAGACCCGGAGCCUCCAGGGCAUCUUACAAACCUCUAACCCAGGCUUUGUCACCUGGCCCACGGCCUGGACUAUGUUCAGUGCUCAGUGAAUGAAUGAAUGAGUCGUGAAUGAAUGAUGGAAGAGACCCGAGUGAGUAGGAUGUUGCCCUUGUAUCUCCGCAGUGGGUUUCAACCUGAGGGACACGAGGGCAAGGGUGAUGGUGGCAACGGCCGUGGGCAGGGACUGCGUGGAACCCCCAAGGCUGAGCCACCUCUCCUUGACCUGCCCAUGCUGCAGGGCCCCGGCAGUGAGCAAGCCGCCGGGUCCCCUGCACAUGUGUCGGGAAACGGAAGCUGACUUUCUCAGGGGCCCCAUAGGAUGACGGGGAGCAGGGUAGGGAGGGGGGAUGUGAGCCAUGGGGAGAGGCCGCAAAAGCAGAUGACGCGUCUGUGUCCGUCCACAGAUGGAGGGGGUUGGGGGGGGCUGUUCUGGGAGACAAGCUCCGUCUACCCAUAGCAUUCCCUGGCCUGGAAUGUUCAAGCUGGGCUCAGUGUUUGAGCUCAGGCAGGGAGCUGAAUGUGACCCCGCUUGCCUCCUGCCUGCCCUUGGGUUGCAAGGUGGUGCGUGUGACCCUCACAAUGACCCCCACAGUGACCCCUUGCAGUGGGCACUGAGCUUGCUCCCACCUUACAGAGGGGAAACAGGUGCUUGCAGCCCUGGCGUCUUGACCUGUGCUUAGAGGCAGGGGCAGGGUUCGGGGAGAAGCUCCCUCGCCGCACAGCCCCUAAUCGAGGUGGUUUACCCUGCAAGGCAGUGCUCUCCCAGGCACGCAUGGGGACGCAGGUGCCACCAUGGAAGGGGCUCUGCCUGGGACCCGUUUCUGGGGUUCAUGUGGCGCCAGAAGCCUGAGUUCCAGAGGCCCCAGGCCCCUCAUCCACCCACCCGUGUGCUCCUGACAAUGACCAAGACGUUUACUCCCCUGGGUGCAGAAAGAGUCGGCCGCGAGUCCACCCUCUCACCGGGGAGCCUGGGGCCCCCUUCCGUCCCACCACCCACUCUUGGGGUGGCCAGCCCAGGACUGUGCCCCAGCCAGUGGCUUUGGGGGCUCCACUUGAGACUAACGCACCAAGUGAGCCACGCUCAGUAUUGGGGCUUCUAGUAAGGUAUUUCCAAUCAUAAAAUGUGUCAUUAAAAAAAAUAUAUGUGUCAGUUAAGUGCGCACUAAGCCCGGACCACAUGGGACAUAGUUGUUCUCAUAAACACGAAUAAGCCAGUUUUCACAUUAGAGAAAUAACAGUUUCUUGUAGAAAUGUGGUGCUUUUAAAAGAGGUUAAUUAAUAAACAGCAGGUAAUUGUUCGUGGCACAUUGUGGCAGAGGGUAAUUUUCAUUUUAGAGGAGGGAAGGGCCAAGGACCCCUCCCCACUCAGCAUUUUUCUGUAAUAAUCACCUUGGCUUCACCUCUGGCUUUAAUUUUUACAGCUGCAGCUGUUUAGCAUCCUCCGACUCUCACUAAAAAGGAAAAACUAUCACUUAAACAAAGCCAUUGAAAACUCGGCAUCGUAUGUGGAUUUCUUAACAUAAAUAAAUCAUGCAAACCAAGAUUUAUGUUCCCGGGAUGAUGUCAUUCAUUGAAGAGCGCCUUCCCAAUCAAAGAGGCACUUAGUGCUUUUCCUCUGGCCUGUGCUUUGCUUUUGCUCAAUAAUGGGGCACCCGCUCGCCCAUCCCUGCCGCCCUCCUUUCCGGUUUUUUCUGCCCAGGACCUCAGAGAGCUGCUCCCUCCCGGGGUCAGCCCAGCACAGCCAGGUCUCAAUGCUGAAAACAGUGCUAAAUCCGCAAACUGCUUUUAAAGCCUUUGCUUUUGAAGCAUAAGGCUGAGGUUAAACAACUGCUAAACCUUCCCCAGGAACCGGUGCCGGCCCCGGCAGAAGUUUACGGUCCUCCCGGGUGUCCCAGAGCCUAGAGUGAGUCCGGCGGGCAGCAGAGACUCCACUGCGGAAGCUUUAAUCCAGUUGAAACGAGAACGAGGAGCGUUCACGUCGCCUAUAACAGAUGAGCGAGCCGAGGCGUGUGCACGCGGUGGCGUGUGCACGCGGUGGCGUGUGCACGCGGUGGCGUGUGCACGCGGUGGCGUGUGCACGCGGUGGCGUGUGCACGCGGUGGAGUAGCACUCGGCACCAAAAGGAGGGAGACACAGACACCUGCCGUGACGCCGACGAGCCUGGGAGACCUGGUGCUCGGUGAAAGAAGCCGAUCUCGAAAGGUCACAUAUUACACAACGACACUCACACGACGUGCCCAGGACGGGCAAAUGCUGCAGCUCUGCGUUGCGGGGCUGCGGACGGACGUCGGACGUCAUGGAGGCAGCGGCACCCUGGGGAGACGAAGGCUCGGAGCGCAGGGGAGCCAGACCCGAGCCGGCGUCCGCCCCAGGUGUUGCCAGGGGGCGUCGGCUGGAAGCCAGUGGGAACACAGGGCUGACUCACGCCCGGGGUCCGGCAGGUUGCAGCGUGAGUGAGCCUUCUCCCCCUGCGAGGGACACGCGUCUGUCACACACCUGCUGCGAGCCUGGCACAGCUGCAGGCCCCGAGGUGCAGCAGUGACUGGAACGGACACUCCCCACCCCCUACGCCCAGCCCACGUUCUCCUGCAGAAGGCGGCAGUGAGCAAGAUCCGCGAGGGCCUGGCAUAGCCGGCUAGGACAUUCUAGCGCACCGGGCACACAGGGAGGAAGAGAGGUGAGGACCAGGACGAGGGGAAGGCAUGAUUUUCAUCAUGCUGGUUAGGGAAGGCCCUCACUGGGGUGGUGACAUUCAAACAGGCAGUGACGAGGCAGCCACCUCCGUGUCUGGGGCAACAGCAUUUGGGCAGAGGGAACAGCCAGGGCAAAGGCCCUGAGGCAAUGGUGGCCAGUGUGGCCAGAGCAGAAGCAUGGAGGAGGGGGGACAAGAGUGCAGGGGGCACUGGGGGUGCAAAUUAAGGUCGCAGCCGGACUCACAGCUGCUGAGGCUGACCUCAUGCCCUGGUUGUCUGGGGGUGCCCACAAAGUCCUCAGACAGCCAGGGGUGCGGGAGAGUCGCAUCAGGAUGGAGGGACAUGGGGAAGAUUCGGUGACGGCCUUCUGGCUUCGAGGAUGGGGGAAGGGCUGUGAGCCAAGGAAGGUGAUCACGGAGACCUCAGGAAACUGGCAAAGGCAAGAAAGAGGAUUCUAGAGCCUCCGGAAGGGAAAGCAGCCCUGUCCACGCUGGACUUUUAGCCCGGCAAGACCAGUUUUGGACUUCGGACCUACAGAACUGGCAGCGGCUGGGAAGUCUGGAAGACUGUGCUUCCUUGGGCUUUGCGUGUGACUUGCGUUUUCCUCUUUGGAAUCUUACGGAAUCUUCCCUUUGCCUCAACUGGUCCAGCAUUUCACAGUGAGGAGCCCUGGAGUGUGUCCGUUUUCAUGCACUCGGUUCUUUCCAACUGGAAACUUGUGUCCUUCAGCUCUGGGGAAACUUCCCUGAAAUACUCUCUUGCUGAUUUUCUACUCUCUGUUUUCUCUGUUCUUUAUUUUUGGAAUGUGGAGUUAUAUGCACUUUCUUCUGCUCAUGCAGUCUGCGUGUGCUCUGUCUCCUGCCUGUCAUCAUACUGAUAUGUCCCCAAACAUGGGGAAACCUUUAGGAAUUUAAAUUGAAAUAUUAAUGGUGGUUUUUUUCUGAACGAUGGGAUUUCUCUGCCAGGUGUGGUGGUGCACACCCGUAGCCCCAGCGAUUCGGGAGGCUGAGGCAGAAGGAUUG
Molecule: non-coding RNA, 4284 nt
Organism: Microcebus murinus (gray mouse lemur)
Lineage: Eukaryota; Metazoa; Chordata; Mammalia; Primates; Cheirogaleidae
Source: RefSeq, a predicted model, not a curated record